Acanthosepion pharaonis is the source of this 112-nucleotide non-coding RNA. NCBI's taxonomy places the organism in Eukaryota, Metazoa, Mollusca, Cephalopoda, Sepiida, Sepiidae. The record is from the annotation of a GenBank genome assembly.
UACGGCCACGUCCUGUUGAAACACCAGUUUGCAUACAAACACAGAAGUUAAGCAACAUCAAACCUGGUCAUUACCUAGAUGGGUGACCGCUUGGGAAUACUAGAUGCUGUAA